Molecule: ribosomal RNA, 140 nt
Filed under: uncultured bacterium
Lineage: Bacteria
Description: partial 16S ribosomal RNA
Rfam family: Bacterial small subunit ribosomal RNA
Source: RNAcentral
UAGGGAAUAUUGGGCAAUGGGCGAAAGCCUGACCCAGCGACGCCGCGUGAGGGAUGAAGGUCUUCGGAUUGUAAACCUCUUUCAGUAGGGAAGAAGCGAAAGUGACGGUACCUAAAGAAGAAGCACCGGCUAACUAUGUG